CUCCAAAUGAGCAACCUCGUAACCUCAUUGCGCCAUUUAAUUAAAAACAAAAAAAGAGAAAAAAGAAAAAAAAAAGGAGAAAAAAAAGAAUUCCUCGUCACGUGCACGGUCUGAAACUGGACAGCGAUGGGUUAUUAUUAUUUUUUUUUUCCUCCCCACCUAUUUUGUUGCAUCCCUGGUUUUGCCCCAGCCCCUCUGUGCCCCCUCAGCCAUUCCCAGGAUGGAGAUGGAAUCUCAUGACCACCAGCCACACACGGAGACCUGGCCCUGUCCCUGCUGCCACCGCUGCUGCCCCGCGGCCACCGAGCUGAGCCCACCUCCAGCACACUCCUCCUUCCUCCUCUUCUCCUCUCCAGGAAGCGUUUGUUUGUUCCUAAGGAAAAAAAAAAUAGGAAAAAACUUGAAAUUCCUCAUGUCCAGCUUGAUGUGGAAGUCCCAGCAGUCCUGGAUCUGAAGCUUCUUGGAGGGGUUUUGUUGCCUUCCACUUCUUCCACUUCCACUUCUGUUUGGAUCAGCUCCAGCAAGGAGAUGCCAUGGCUAAUUCCAGAAUUUUCCAUGUUUCCUCCACUGAGUUUGCCUCAUUCCACGUUUUCCAAAGUGCUGACUCAAGGUCACACUGGGCAUCUCUUUGCCUUGUCUUAAAGGUGCUUCUAUUUUUGUAUGUUUGUGAGUAAAUAUUUGUAUCGUAUUUUAUUUGAAAUGUUGGAAUGUUUCCUCCUUCAAACCACACAAGUGACCUUGUCUGUAUUAAAGCCACCCCAUCCCAGCCAAGCUUCCAGCUGGGAAUGAAGACAGCAGCUCCUGUCCCCACUUCUGCCUCUUCCCUGCCCCAAACUGGGAUCUGGAGCCUUGGAAUUACCCCCAGGAUGAGGUCUCUCAGCUGGAAAAUAAUUAUUGCAAGGUGGGUUUUGUAUUUUUUUAAUUAUUAUUCUUUGGCCUGGAACGCUCAGCUCAAGGGGGAUUUUUCACCACGAAGGAAAAGACAUCACAUUUACUGUGAAAAAAGCCUAUAUAUGAUGUCUUUUCUCCCCUCCUGCCCAAAUUGA
This 1046-nucleotide long non-coding RNA is filed under the name Parus major (Great Tit). RNAcentral describes it as "lncRNA (ENSPMJG00000006413.1)". The record is from RNAcentral. Lineage: Eukaryota; Metazoa; Chordata; Aves; Passeriformes; Paridae.